RNAcentral lists this transfer RNA (67 nucleotides) under Mordacia mordax (southern lamprey). RNAcentral's name for it is "tRNA-Phe". It matches the Rfam family "tRNA". Rfam says of the family: Transfer RNA (tRNA) molecules are approximately 80 nucleotides in length. Their secondary structure includes four short double-helical elements and three loops (D, anti-codon, and T loops). The record is from RNAcentral. RNAcentral also lists the same sequence under 1 other name. Lineage: Eukaryota; Metazoa; Chordata; Hyperoartia; Petromyzontiformes; Petromyzontidae.
GUUAAAAUAGCUUAAAUUUAAAGCAAAGCACUGAAGAUGCUUAGAUGGUCUAAUGGGCCCUUUAACA